CCACCCGACAGUCCACAGAUGCCUCCCCCAGGGGGUUAACUGCCUUGCAGGUGUAGAUACCCCCAUCAAAGGGACCAGGCUUGCGGAUUUCGAGAGAGCAGAUUCCCAGACUGGUCCAGCCUGUGGGGUUUGCCUUUCUACCCCAUUUCUGCAUUUGUCCUCAACAGCACUCCAUUUAUCAAAGCCACUUUCAAUGUUAGUCUGGACCUCCAAGCGUCAGCCCUGCUUCCCAGUUUGAGGCCACACUGGAGGAGAAAGUUUUCCACUCUGCAGGCAGAGUCAACACCCUGGACCCACCGGGACAGCACUGACGUCACUGAAGAGGGAGCUGGUGUCUGGGUCCCUUCCUCUGCGUGGCUAUGCUGCUUGGACGACCUGUGCAAUGCUCUUCCAGUUGGUGGAGGAUCGCUUUGUACCAACAGACUCUGGGAAUCUGGGAAAAACUAGGCCACCCCUCCCUGCUCCUUGAUGUUCCAGGCCUGUUCCAGUGAGUCGAGGGAUUAGUUUAUGUCCCUUGGCUUCCAGGAUGGAGGCAGGAGACGCUCAGGAAAAGUGCUGAGUGUGAGGUUUGGAAGACGACCAGGUGUGACCGCUUUCCUCUCCGGAUGUCUUGGGCUGCCUCGGCUGAGAAAGUGCAAACAUCCCACCUGGUUCCCUUGGGGGCCUGGCUGAGACUGCACCAUUUUCUAGCUUUCUCGGGGCUCCUGUCUCCUUCUUCCUCAGGCAGACAGUCGCCUGUUGCUGUUGUCAAAAGUGGAAUGUGACAGCGCCUCAUUCCUCACUACCUCCCCGGCCUCUCUGCACAAUUCUUUUGUGGAGUCGUAAAAAGCCUCACCCAGGUCACUACCGAGGCAAACAGCACCACUGUGUGAUAGUGGGCUGUAAACUUUCUGAUAACGUAACAUUUCCCGAGGAUACAUUCCUGAGCACUCCACUCCACAGUCUGUGUGUUCACUUACAAAUUGAACUGUUUAAAUAUGUACAUUAUGCAAUGCAAACUUUUGAAUGGUGAAAUUUAAAAUACAGUACGUAGGGGUUCUACUGUGUUCUUCCUACACCUCAAUUUGUAGCCCACUGUUUAGAGAGCAGGAAGCUCCUUCCCAUGGUCUGCCCUGUCACCACCCCGAGGUCACUUUUUGCCUUUGGAAAUAAAUAUAAACACAGAUAGUGCA
Molecule: long non-coding RNA, 1172 nt
Organism: Herpailurus yagouaroundi (jaguarundi)
Lineage: Eukaryota; Metazoa; Chordata; Mammalia; Carnivora; Felidae
Exons: 2
Source: RefSeq, a predicted model, not a curated record